CUUCGGUAUCCUCAAUUGGCUUAACCGAUGGAAAAACGGGAGCAACCGGUUCUGAAUUCCUCAAACCGGAUUCAGUAACCGACUGCUCGGGUUGAACCGGAGCUCUACAAAGCGGACAGGUAGAUCUCGACCGGAACCACGUGUCAAUACAGUCAACGUGGAACACGUGGCCGCAUUCGGGAAGGACACGUCCUUCGUCUUCUUCUUCAAAUUCCGAAUGAUAUCAUAGAAUCGGUAUUCUCCUUAUAUUGCAGACAAGUGCAGUGCUGGCACGACUAAUUAGUAGGCAACGUUUAAUAAUCAUCUUGCACCAGGUCUUGCUGCACGAUUGCUCUAGAUGUUAACGCAAGCAACGUUUUCAUUAUACUCUCUUUAAAUAUGUGUCUAACGAGGUAUCGACGGCUUCAUAAAACAUCAACGGUACAAACACAUACUAGUGUAAUAACGGGCACUGACUAUCGAUCUACAACGGGUUUUUUCCCAACAACUGUUAUUUGUUUUAUAAAAUCAGAUCUAUAGAAUCCAUAAUCUUUACAUACCGACUCAAACCGCAUCAAUAGGCUACAGUCCUGAAAUUUGGUAAUUGCAAAUAUCGAUUUAGGUCUAAUGGUCGAGUGUUUUCAUUUAAACAAUAGUGAGGAUUAUAGAAAGAUAAGAAGAGUCGAAUACUGUACUUUUUACAAACAAAAAAAGUUGGUCGUCAUGUUAUAUAUAUCUAUUCCUUAUAAUAAAGUUGGUCAUUCGUCCCCACAAAUGAAUUUGAAAAUUGGAGACAUGUGCGCUAGGAAUAGCUUUUAAAACUGAAAGGUGCAUGCAUCGUCAUUAUAAUGUGUUUGUUAGAAUAACUAUGAAAUAUAUCAAGUAAACCACUUUCUUUCAAGUGAUAUCUAGUUCUUGACACAUGCACAACGCACGCGAGAGUUAAUCGGAUGGUCCCCCACUCAUAAUAGUCUUUGAGUCCACGUCAGUUUGAGUACGUGCCAGUGUGUCAAAACUCCAUCCUACCUAAUACCACAAUCGUUGUAUAUAAAUUCAAUUUAAAAUUUCCGAUAGUUUUGUCACUAGAGUUCAUAAGCGGGAACAUUCUGAUUUAGGCUCAGCAAUUACUUGAAUGAACAUUCUGGUGUACAAUGUAUAUGAUAUGCAAUUACUUGAAUGAACAUUCUGGUGUACAAUGGAAACAACAUAUGAGCGAAAAGGGUAAAUGAAAUAGUGAAUGACAAGGUUUACAAACAAUUAAGGCUAAUAUUCGGUUAAUAAUGAACAUAUUAUUUUAAAAAAAUUUACAAUGAUAAAAGUAAUUAUUUACUUUAAUUACAACUCUGUAACAAACCAUUUUAAGAGAUUACAAAGGAACAAAGAGAAUCGUUUUGGCGGGAGAGCUUCGCUUAGCGAUUGCUUUGAUUCUCUACUUAAACGACAGUACAUACAUUGACCGAGUAGCCCUGCUUACCGGUUCGGUUAGCCGAUCUUUACGAAUCCGAAUUACGAUUCCAUCUCUUGCCCACCCGGUUCCCCAAUUAUCGGGUCGGACUCUUCAGUCCCAAACAAUUUUGAGUGAGGGAAGAAAUCAAAUACCCCAUAUCCUCUUCAUCGAAACCCGAUUAUUAGAUCCGUUGUCCCCGGGUAAACCGGAGUUAGAAGCGUCAAUUUCCCCCGGGAAUCUCAACAAGUAUACCGACUAAAUCAACCGGUUCCCUCUCGCAAGCUUCCAUCGGGAACCUCAACGGCGAACCAGACGAUGAAGACGGCGUCGAUGAAUCGGAUUCGUCCGAUGAUGACGAGCUCCCGGCUUCGGUAUCCUCAAUUGGCUUAACCGAUGGAAAAACGGGAGCAACCGGUUCUGAAUUCCUCAAACCGGAUUCAGUAACCGACUGCUCGGGUUGAACCGGAGCUCUACAAAGCGGACAGGUAGAUCUCGACCGGAACCACGUGUCAAUACAGUCAACGUGGAACACGUGGCCGCAUUCGGGAAGGACACGUCCUUCGUCUUCUUCUUC
This 2000-nucleotide long non-coding RNA is filed under the name Brassica napus (rape). RNAcentral describes it as "long non-coding RNA (BNAP_LNC006142)". The record is from RNAcentral. Lineage: Eukaryota; Viridiplantae; Streptophyta; Magnoliopsida; Brassicales; Brassicaceae.